CGGGGUUUUCAUCUCGGUGAGAGAGAGCGGUGAUUGACGGAGCGGAAAAAUGCUCCAGCGAUGCCGAGAGAAGGCGAAAUAAUAGUGUGAAAGUUUGUUCUUUCGUUGUUAAGUGUUAAAUGAAGACCCAACAGGAUUGAGGCUCGGUGUGUUGGAUCGGGGCGGGGGUGUGUGGUUGUUGCGAGACGUGCGGGUGAGUGUUGUUGUUAGAUUCGGCGAGGUUCGUAAAUGUGCUAUAUGCUAAAUUGUUAGCUGACUAGCAUCGACUGUGCAGGAGCAGAGGAAGACUGGAGUCAGGAUGCAUGUGCGAGGUCGAGUGUUAAUUUCAAGUUCCUGAGUGAGUAUCAGACUGCUUAUUGUUAUCGCAUACACGUUGUGAGUGAGUACGUGUAUGUGAAGUUUUGUUUUUUGUGCUGUCAGUGUGCUUCGGAUACUGUCCGCUCGUGCUGGAACAGUAGAGGUGCUCCGGACUUGCCGCGCCUGGGACUUCGGCAUGUGGACCGACUUUCUCCUUCUUCCGGCUCUGUGCUUCCGUGAUGGUUAUAACAACACACUAAAUUUGCAAGGGACCGUGAGUACAAACGACUUAGAAAUCACACCCACACAAGAGCUCCAACAGCGCGCCAACGUACGUGGUACCACAGACUGAUUUAUAAAAUCCCGGGUAUUAAGAACUAUUAUUUUUUUUCUUCUCUUUUUAUUUCUUUAUCCUGUGAAUAAAUGUGAACAUUUGUGUAUUUAAACGUGUGUAGUUUCUGUUGAUUGAUGUUGUGCACGUUUGGGGGGGCUAUCUUAAAACGUGCAUGGGAGUUAACACUCACACAGACACAUCACACAAUUCCCUGGUUUAUAUUUCGUAGCAUCACCAAUUCCUCUCCCAUGCAAAAUACUGUGUGUAUGAUCUGGUAGGUAAUAGUCUUUUGAAAAAAAUAGGAAUUGAGUAAGGGGGCUACACAAGAACUGUCUCAUCAGCUGACUCCACUAUGCAGAAGAAGAGGACAAAUUACAUGGAGCCAACUGAUCCAGAUCCAGCUUGCCACAUGUCUAAAGUAAGAAUUAUAUUAGGCCAUAGAUUUAUAUAGCAGUUAACCAGCGAAUGUUCACAAAAUUAGAAAAAAUUACAGUUGAUUUUACGGUCUGCAAAAGUUGGUAGCCGAUGUAGAAGCUUGCGUUAACUUUAUGAGGUUUUUAAAUAAAGCGCCCUGGUGUGUAAUGACCCCAAGAGGUUCAGUAAAGCUCUGUGAGGAACUGUCAGUUUCAUGAUGAAGCAGAUUCCCUCAUCCUCUGAACAACGAAUCACAUCUGCUGACUUUUGACCAUCAAAUAUCAUUAUUCAUCCAGGAUAAGAGGAAACUGUGAAAACAGGUUUGUUUCUUCAGCUAACUGGCUGACACCUACCCCCUCCUACCAGUUUCAGCCAUUAAAAAUAAUGAUACAAAAAUCCUCAGGCUUGUCCCUUAUAGUCUUGUUCGCUUUGGAUGACAUGAUCAGGCAUCAUUUUGAAUUUCAGUCCAUUUCAUUCAUGAUGAAAAACUCCCUACAGGAGCUUUAAAUGUAAAAAAGAAAGAAUUUCAGACUUUUUUUUUGUAUAUAAAUAAUGCAUGUAUAGUAAUACGCUUAAAGCCAAAAUGACUAAAAAAUCUCAGAUAUUUUUCUUCUUACUUAAAUUUUUGGCAUCAGGUGAAACAUCUUUGUACAAAAUCUGCUGUUAAAUUCUCUGAGGAUGUUUUGACUAAAUUCUCUGACUAAAAUAUGACGAGAAUCAACCAUCAUUUCCUGUCUGUAUUAAAUUUUUGCUGAUGGGAAGUGGCUGUUUGCUGCAUUACCUGGUAAAUUUCCUGCUUUUUUUAUGUCUCCUCCCUCCACAUUUACGACAGAAAUAAUUACACAAAUUAAAAUGUGACUGGCACACGUCUCAGGUGGCUAAUUGAUGAAAUUGGUUUUCAGCUGAAAGGAUCUGGGACCUCAGAUUCACCAUAUUAACAAUAACUGACAGUUAGUCCACCUAUAAAGGGUCUGUGGUCUGCAGAGUCUCCCCCCUCCAUGAUACUAACAGCCAUAAGUGUCUAUGUGUAAAAGCCGAGGUCGUGGUUUUUAGUGCCUCUGCGGGACACUUUUGUUGUUUUGCCCUCUGCUAAAUACCAAUGUGUUCUGGUAAUUGGUUGUGCUGUCUGUAAUUGCUGCAAUUUCUCUAAAUGCUGCGCUGGUGUUGUCAAAGUGAGAAAGAUUUUCCUCCUUUUUUUGUUAAUUUGCUUGUUUUUUUUCCUUCAAUUAUGGUCCAUUGAGCUCUCAGGGCCACCAUACUUUGCUCUUACAAAAUGACUAAGCACCAGCAGCCCUCAAUACAUCUUCACAAGGCUUUUAAAGCACAUAUCGACAAAACCACAUCCUAUCCAUGUAAAGUAUCGGCUUCAAUCCAUCACUUUAACCCAGCGGAGUCCGUCCAUACACGAGGCUUCGAUCCAGGCUCGUUUAUUUUGUGUGAACUUGUAAAAAUGAAGAAUACAGUGUCAUAAAAACGGCUUUUUUUUUAAACUCAUCUGUGUGUACUCAGGUGGGCGGGCUCACAGUUUGAGUGACAGGACAGCGGAGUCCGCCGGUGGGAAUAAGCUGUGUGAGAAGAGAUUCAUUAGCGCUCUCAAAGGGACUCAGUCAUUUAUAAUUAAAUGCAGAGGCUCUUCAAUAAUAUAUGACCAGCGAUGAGUGUUUUUCCUGUGACAGAGCGUGUUUGACAAAAUACAGAGGAGGACAGAAGCAGAGAUGUAAGAGGACAAACAUGUAAGCGCGCUAAAACUGAUCAGGCAUGAGAAAAAAAAAAGUCAUGUUUGGUUGAAUGAGCAGCUGUUUGUUUCAGCCUCAAACUUCAUCUCUUUAAACAAGUGGAGGAAGUUUUUCAGUUUCAAUGAUUCAGCCUUUAUAUCCUCUUAAACAAUAAAACUACAUAUCUAAAGGCCGUACUUUAUGAAGGGCUGAAAGGACAUGUUUCACCUUGACAAUAACAAUAAUAAUGUUUUUCCAUCCUGACAGACAGCAAAUCUGAAACGGCCUCUCACUUUUUUAUGUAUAAGUUUAGAUACUGUGGCGUGUGGUGUAUUUUGUGGACCCAGAAGCAGACUCAGAGGCAGAUAGCAAAUUAAAGAUGUAUUUAAUGUCCAGAACACGGGGGCACGAGGAAAGUCCGGUUUGGCCGGCUGACUGAUGUGUGGGCUGGAGACACUGUGGAGAAGCAGAAGAGAAAGAGGUGAGAAGACGUAUGAGGAAUCACAGGGAGCAAAAAUCACGAGCACUUAGCCGAGGAGAAGGCCGGGAGAAGCGUCUGUACCGCUCAGGAGCGAAGACAAUACUCAGGCGCUGAGACUGAGGGCUGCUGGCUUCGUAAAGGGCCUUGAUGCAGCACAGGUGUGGAGUCUCGCUCAGCCUCAGCGCCCGGGGAGAGGGAGAGUGCUCUGAAACACAGUCAAGCCAGACCAGGGAAUCAAGGAAAACAGGAAGUUCAACCAAAAUAAAACAGGAGGUGGAGGCGUCUCACCACAGAUACCAAAUUAAGGAGUAGUGCACUUUCCUGUUUCCUAAAAACUGAUCAGAAAUCGAUCAAAAUAUAACAUACUACUGCGUCAGAGAGUCUGCAUCUCUCCACUUGUCAGGAAGGGGAUGUCUAUGCUCAUCAUAUCACUAGUUUGCGGUCCAGCUAUGAACCCUCCUCGUUUCUUCACAGGAAACCAUGGCGACUGAAUUCAAGCACCGUAUGUUUGAGUCGAAGCUGGUAAAGACUUGGACGAGCUGCUCUUGUGGGUCAUUUCUCUCUCCUCUGAGCCGUGAUGGGACGCCGCUCAGUCUGCUGGGUUUGUAACUAGCUCCAGUUUGCCUUUAAUGGCGACUGCUGCUCUUUGUCUUCCAGUUGUUAAAUCGUGGGAACUUAUUAACUUGUAAUUUAUUCUAGUGGCCUUAAGUAGUAGCAUCAAACAUAAGGUUAUCGGCAAAUCAGUUUGGCUUGCUUGUCCCACCGUCAUCAGAAAAGUAGGAAGCAUCGUAGCGGCCAACAAACUGUAGUCAGAUAAUCAAAUAUAAGCUGCCACCAUCAAUAUCACCGUUUGCCUCUAUCACAAAAGCCUUUGUGGUUUCUGUAGAGGAAACCGUCGUCAAUCUUCGAUCUUUAGAGAAACAAUCAGCAGUAACAGAGAAGCUUUGAGCAGCUUUGGAGGACGGCGAGGUGAAAUCAUUACUUUCUUGUUUGAUUUGACCACAGUGAGACGAAUGGACCUAGCGUUGUCUUUACAGCCACCGGGGGAGGAGUUUUAUGAACAGAUGCAAGGUCAGCGGCUGAACUGGUGAUGCUUCGGUUACGGAGAUGAUAAAAACCACAGGGGAGUGAUCAUGCAAACGAAGUGUUAUCUUCGUCAACAUUUCCACAGACCGAUGAACCCACGGUGUAGAGGAAGGGGAGGGGAUCAUGUAUGUUGUGUUCGUGUGUGGAAGUGUUUUUCCCUCCACAGCCUGAAAUGAAACCCUGACUGGCAGCCAUAACUCUCCAGUGGCAGGACACAUUUCAUUCGUCCCUUCCCCCCGCGUGUCACCUCUCUCCAUCUCCAUCUCUUUUCUCAUUACGAAUUCAUAUCUACUUCUCUGGGAAACACCAGGGGUUUGAUGUGUCGCUGCUCUUAAACGCUGUUGCUCCCUUUACCGUCAUGUCCACAUAAAUGUUGCUAAAUGGGAGGUAAAGAAUC
RNAcentral lists this long non-coding RNA (4724 nucleotides) under Xyrichtys novacula (pearly razorfish). The record is from RNAcentral. Lineage: Eukaryota; Metazoa; Chordata; Actinopteri; Labriformes; Labridae.